RNAcentral lists this ribosomal RNA (253 nucleotides) under uncultured bacterium. RNAcentral's name for it is "partial 16S ribosomal RNA". It matches the Rfam family "Bacterial small subunit ribosomal RNA", at positions 524 to 776 of the family's 1533-position model. The record is from RNAcentral.
UACGUAGGGUGCGAGCGUUAAUCGGAAUUACUGGGCGUAAAGCGUGCGCAGGCGGUUCGUCGUGUCCGAUGUGAAAGCCCCGGGCUCAACCUGGGAAUGGCAUUGGAAACUGGCGGACUCGAGUGUGGCAGAGGGGGGUGGAAUUCCGCGUGUAGCAGUGAAAUGCGUAGAGAUGUGGAGGAAUACCGAUGGCGAAGGCAGCCCCCUGGGCCAAUACUGACGCUCAUGCACGAAAGCGUGGGGAGCAAACAGG